GUGAAUUUAAUUUAAUAGAUAAAAUAUUUAAUUUGCAAUUAAAAAAUUUAGGUUUAAUACCUAAAAUUCACA
RNAcentral lists this transfer RNA (72 nucleotides) under Ophidiaster granifer. Its description in RNAcentral is "tRNA-Ala". It matches the Rfam family "tRNA". Rfam says of the family: Transfer RNA (tRNA) molecules are approximately 80 nucleotides in length. Their secondary structure includes four short double-helical elements and three loops (D, anti-codon, and T loops). The record is from RNAcentral. Lineage: Eukaryota; Metazoa; Echinodermata; Asteroidea; Valvatida; Ophidiasteridae.